AGAGUUUGAUCCUGGCUCAGGAUGAACGCUGGCGGCGUGCUUAACACAUGCAAGUCGAACGGGCUCAUAUUGAAACCUAGUGAUUUAUGAGUUAGUGGCGGACGGGUGAGUAACGCGUGGAAAACCUGCCGUAUACUGGGGGAUAACACUUAGAAAUAGGUGCUAAUACCGCAUAAGCGCACAGCUUCGCAUGAAGUGGUGUGAAAAACUCUGGUGGUAUACGAUGGUUCCGCGUCUGAUUAGCUUGUUGGUGGGGUAAUGGCUCACCAAGGCGACGAUCAGUAACCGGCCUGAGAGGGUGAACGGCCACAUUGGGACUGAGACACGGCCCAAACUCCUACGGGAGGCAGCAGUGGGGAAUAUUGCACAAUGGGGGAAACCCUGAUGCAGCGACGCCGCGUGAGUGAAGAAGUAUUUCGGUAUGUAAAGCUCUAUCAGCAGGGAAGAAAUAGCGACCUUUGGGUCGCCAGACGGUACCUGAUUAAGAAGCCCCGGCUAACUACGUGCCAGCAGCCGCGGUAAUACGUA
RNAcentral lists this ribosomal RNA (528 nucleotides) under uncultured bacterium. Its description in RNAcentral is "bacterial SSU rRNA". It matches the Rfam family "Bacterial small subunit ribosomal RNA", at positions 8 to 529 of the family's 1533-position model. The record is from RNAcentral.